RNAcentral lists this long non-coding RNA (596 nucleotides) under Phoenix dactylifera (date palm). Its description in RNAcentral is "long non-coding RNA (PDAC_LNC020103)". Lineage: Eukaryota; Viridiplantae; Streptophyta; Magnoliopsida; Arecales; Arecaceae. The record is from RNAcentral.
CCUAUUGUGAUCAAUGAAGUCUGAAGUUUGUUCUUAAUUGCAUCUUUUCCCAUAUAUAUGUUUUUGAUGAUAACAAAAAGGGGAAGAAGAGAAGGAAAGAGUAUAUAAAGGAGAAGAGAAGAAAGAGUAUAUAAAGGGGGAGAAGAAAAGAUAGAAUAUUCACUUUAAGAAAAGAAAGAGUAUUUCAUUUGAGAAGUUAAGAAAGAGUAUUAAUUUUGGGAGAAGUAAAGAUAGUGUUUAAAGAAAGAGUAUUAACUUUGUGAGAAAGAGUGAGUAAAGAAGUUAUGAAACGAAAAGAGAAAUAAAUGGGCAAACAAAUUGAAAAUCAUAUAGGAAAGCUUAUAUAUCUAAGGGGGGAGCAAUUUGCAACAAUGAAAAUGAUCAACUCAAAAAUUUAUAUCAAAUUUCAGAAUUUGGCACACAUAAUUUCAGAAUUUGGCACGCACCUUUCACACCUCGAUACAUAAUCUGAAACUCAUGUUUUAUCUCAAAUUUUUGGAGUUUCAUCUUUAAUGAAUUAUAAAUGAAAGGGGGAGCAAUUCAAAGAGUCAAAUUGGCAACAUUUAAAUGAUAUAGGGGGAGAUUUCACUCGUAUA